Molecule: ribosomal RNA, 475 nt
Filed under: Flavobacterium sp. DB2.1-6
Lineage: Bacteria; Pseudomonadati; Bacteroidota; Flavobacteriia; Flavobacteriales; Flavobacteriaceae
Description: bacterial SSU rRNA
Rfam family: Bacterial small subunit ribosomal RNA
Source: RNAcentral
UUGAUCCUGGCUCAGGAUGAACGCUAGCGGCAGGCUUAACACAUGCAAGUCGAGGGGUAGAGUUCUUCGGAACUAGAGACCGGCGCACGGGUGCGUAACGCGUAUGCAAUCUACCUUUCACAGAGGGAUAGCCCAGAGAAAUUUGGAUUAAUACCUCAUAGUAUAGUCAUACCGCAUGGUACUACUAUUAAAGUCACAACGGUGAAAGAUGAGCAUGCGUCCCAUUAGCUAGUUGGUAAGGUAACGGCUUACCAAGGCUACGAUGGGUAGGGGUCCUGAGAGGGAGAUCCCCCACACUGGUACUGAGACACGGACCAGACUCCUACGGGAGGCAGCAGUGAGGAAUAUUGGACAAUGGGCGCAAGCCUGAUCCAGCCAUGCCGCGUGCAGGAUGACGGUCCUAUGGAUUGUAAACUGCUUUUGCACAGGAAGAAACAACUCUACGUGUAGAGUCUUGACGGUACUGUGAGAAUAA